UAAACAAACACUGCGCUCCGGAGGGGUGCCAGUCCCGGCGCUAGUCACAGGACAGACGCACCGCUGCUCCCAGCGCUGUCGUGAGAGGCAGACCAGGCACAAUGUGAUGCGCUCUGAAUGCGGGGGGAGAUAGAGAUCAGAAACCACUUUUCAGAGAUAUCAGUGUUAGGCAAAUGCUUACAAAAGGGGAUCAGUGACUAAUCCAAAAGUUGCAUGCUGCUAGAAUGCAACUGGGGCACCAUCGAACCCCUUUGCCCAAUUAUAUUUCCCCCCAAGAUUAUUCUGACUAGCGAAGUAUCCAUCCAUCGCUCUCUUCUCUCUGAACAGAAAUAGAGACGGUUUCGGAGAGGUAGCCCUGUUAGUCUGUAUCAGCAAAAACAAGAGGAGUCCUUGUGGCACCUUAGAGACUAACAAAUUUAUUUGGGCAUAAGCUUUUGUGGGCUAAAACCCACUUCAUCUGAUGCAUGGAGUGGAACAUACAGUAGGGAGGUAUAAAUAUACAGAAAAGAUGGGAGUUGCCUUACCAAGUGGGGAGGUCAGGCUUUGUUUUCACUAAAAGCCCAUUUCACCGGUGAGUUUCCCUUCCCGUCAUUUUUUUCCCGCAGGUUGCGGAAAAUUACUUUUUUUUAAAGAGUCAAGGGCCAUGAUGUUAUUUCUUUCUAUAGGCUGAACUUCACCUAGGUCAUACCGAAUCGGCCCGUGUAUCUUUUUAUAUGAGCCACACGUUGUUUGCCUCAGAUUCACAUUCAGAAAUCAGGUGAAUCGCCAUCAAAAGGUCCCCAGGGUUUUUCUGGUAAAAUCAAAGCGAUCCUCGAUUUGUUGUAGGACUCAGGUAAAGUCAAAGGCAGGCUAUGAGAACCCGCUCCGUCCACUCCAGCCAUUAUGGCUACGUUUUUAGUCUCUUUCUUUCUUAUUCUUUCUCUUAUCUCAGCUGUGUACAAACUGAUACGGUACUUAGCAGGAAAGUGACUGGAAAUUAAAAUAACUUAGUUCCCCAGAGGUUAUCAGCUGGAUAUCUGUCAUCAUCAGUUUGUACAGAAAGAGAGUCAUCUGUAGCAAGGGGCUAGAUGAAGCAUGUCUCCCUCCCUGUAGCCAUCAGAAACUAUUCGUUCCGACAGACACAAUUAAAAAACCUGCUGACAGAGAGUGUUUAUCUUGGGCAGAGGGUUUUUUUCCGGGCAAGCCUAUAGGCAGAUAUCGGCCAUCUAUGCCACUGUACUAAGAGUUUCCUGGGGAUUAUUCCUUACGGUGGCCAGAAGAAUGGAAAGAAUCUGCACCAGGCCUGUCAUAAAUACACUGCUAGAUGUCUUUGUCUACCUGCCCCCAAACUGGAAAGAGAUGAAAAGUGACCUGGACCAAAUGUUCCUGUAGGAGGAAGAGGGAAUCAUUACAGGUGGACAAGUCACUUAUGCAGAACUACUGCAGGAACAAGAGGGAAAUGUGAGAGUCCGGUCACACAGUUAUUAUUGAUCAAGAAAUGCCACAUGGAAAGCGAUUUCAAAGACUCAGCAAUAUGGGGGAAAUAUAUAUAUGGGUGGCUCCCCAAGAAAAAAACAUACGUUUUACCAUAAAGGAUCAGGCUGUACCUGGGAAGAUCCUGCAAAAACAGUGUUCCCAAGCAUUCAUUCAGAUUCUAAAUGACCAUUUAGUUAACUAUGUUUGUACUUAUUAGUCACUAUUAUGUGAAUAGGUUUUUGUUCACAUGGGUUUUUAGGGAACAGACGUUCUUCAUGCGAAUAUCCAUAUUUGCAUAUAACCAAAAGUGUUUGCUAUUCAUAAUUUGCAGUUCCUUAUUCUCCUAUAUAAAAGUUUGCGACAUUAAAUUAAGGCAUAGGGACAGUGCCAUGUGAUUUUAGGCAACCUGUCAGAUACCACAAAUAGCGUGAUUUAUGAUGAAUAUUUCACAAAAUAAUUAAUAUGCUGUACAUUACUUGUCACAAAUGCAUGGUAAAUAUUUCAAAAAAGUACAUACAGAAAACACAACUUAUUUCUACUGAAUAAUUUGACCAGCUUUAGAUCAGCCAUUAGUUCAUAAAUUCUGGCAUUCUGCCUCCUCCAGCAAUGAGCAAUAGCUGAUGUUCAAGAGAAAGGUUUAAAAAAAACAUACUGUACUUAAAUAGUUGUGCUAUCUUUCCACAAUGAGCAAGAUAUAUAUUUACCUGCUCCCUGUUAGUUACAGAUCAGCUGUGUGGUUGCAUAAAACAGGGAGUAUCUAGGAAGGUGAUUUUUACCCGGGGCGGCUCCAGGCACCAGCGCAGCAAGCACGUGCCUGUGGCGGCAAGCUGCGGGGGGGGGCGGCCUGCCACU
This is a long non-coding RNA of Trachemys scripta elegans, 2307 nucleotides long. RefSeq lists it as uncharacterized. The record is from RefSeq and is a predicted model, not a curated record. The transcript has 4 exons. Lineage: Eukaryota; Metazoa; Chordata; Testudines; Emydidae.